UAGAGUUUGAUCCUGGCUCAGGACGAACGCUGGCGGCGUGCUUAACACAUGCAAGUCGAACGAUGAAGCCUAGCUUGCUAGGUGGAUUAGUGGCGAACGGGUGAGUAAUACGUGAGUAACCUACCUUUAACUCUGGGAUAAGCCUGGGAAACUGGGUCUAAUACCGGAUACGACCAAUCUCCGCAUGGGGUGUUGGUGGAAAGCGUUAUGUAGUGGUUAUAGAUGGGCUCACGGCCUAUCAGCUUGUUGGUGAGGUAACGGCUCACCAAGGCGACGACGGGUAGCCGGCCUGAGAGGGUGACCGGCCACACUGGGACUGAGACACGGCCCAGACUCCUACGGGAGGCAGCAAUCGAAUU
RNAcentral lists this ribosomal RNA (359 nucleotides) under Rothia mucilaginosa. RNAcentral's name for it is "bacterial SSU rRNA". It matches the Rfam family "Bacterial small subunit ribosomal RNA", at positions 1 to 362 of the family's 1533-position model. Lineage: Bacteria; Bacillati; Actinomycetota; Actinomycetes; Micrococcales; Micrococcaceae. The record is from RNAcentral.